CGAGCCUGAUGCAGCCAUGCCGCGUGUAUGAAGAAGGCCUUCGGGUUGUAAAGUACUUUCAGUUGUGAGGAAGGGGGUGUCGUUAAUAGCGGCAUCUCUUGACGUUAGCAACAGAAGAAGCACCGGCUAACUCCGUGCCAGCAGCCGCGGUAAUACGGAGGGUGCGAGCGUUAAUCGGAAUUACUGGGCGUAAAGCGCAUGCAGGUGGUUCAUUAAGUCAGAUGUGAAAGCCCGGGGCUCAACCUCGGAACUGCAUUUGAAACUGGUGAACUAGAGUACUGUAGAGGGGGGUAGAAUUUCAGGUGUAGCGGUGAAAUGCGUAGAGAUCUGAAGGAAUACCAGUGGCGAAGGCGGCCCCCUGGACAGAUACUGACACUCAGAUGCGAAAGCGUGGGGAGCAAACAGGAUUAGAUACCCUGGUAGUCCACGCCGUAAACGAUGUCUACUUGGAGGUUGUGGCCUUGAGCCGUGGCUUUCGGAGCUAACGCGUUAAGUAGACCGCCUGGGGAGUACGGUCGCAAGAUUAAAACUCAAAUGAAUUGACGGGGGCCCGCACAAGCGGUGGAGCAUGUGGUUUAAUUCGAUGCAACGCGAAGAACCUUACCUACUCUUGACAUCCAGAGAAGCCAGCGGAGACGCAGGUGUGCCUUCGGGAGCUCUGAGACAGGUGCUGCAUGGCUGUCGUCAGCUCGUGUUGUGAAAUGUUGGGUUAAGUCCCGCAACGAGCGCAACCCUUAUCCUUGUUUGCCAGCGAGUAAUGUCGGGAACUCCAGGGAGACUGCCGGUGAUAAACCGGAGGAAGGUGGGGACGACGUCAAGUCAUCAUGGCCCUUACGAGUAGGGCUACACACGUGCUACAAUGGCGCAUACAGAGGGCAGCGAACUUGCGAGAGUGAGCGAAUCCCAAAAAGUGCGUCGUAGUCCGGAUUGGAGUCUGCAACUCGACUCCAUGAAGUCGGAAUCGCUAGUAAUCGUAGAUCAGAAUGCUACGGUGAAUACGUUCCCGGGCCUUGUACACACCGCCCGUCACACCAUGGGAGUGGGCUGCAAAAGAAGUGGGUAGUUUAACCUUUCGGGGAAGACGCUCACCAUUUGGGGUUCAUGACUGGGAGACG
RNAcentral lists this ribosomal RNA (1115 nucleotides) under Vibrio sp. 7911M. Its description in RNAcentral is "bacterial SSU rRNA". It matches the Rfam family "Bacterial small subunit ribosomal RNA", at positions 378 to 1485 of the family's 1533-position model. The record is from RNAcentral. Lineage: Bacteria; Pseudomonadati; Pseudomonadota; Gammaproteobacteria; Vibrionales; Vibrionaceae.